UGGAAGUCUAAUAGGAACUUGAAGGAGCCA
RNAcentral lists this non-coding RNA (30 nucleotides) under Rattus norvegicus (Norway rat). The record is from RNAcentral. Lineage: Eukaryota; Metazoa; Chordata; Mammalia; Rodentia; Muridae.